Molecule: ribosomal RNA, 750 nt
Filed under: uncultured cyanobacterium
Lineage: Bacteria; Bacillati; Cyanobacteriota
Description: bacterial SSU rRNA
Rfam family: Bacterial small subunit ribosomal RNA
Source: RNAcentral
GCGUAAGAGUCCGUAGGUAGUCAUCCAAGUCUGCUGUUAAAGAGCGAGGCUUAACCUCGUAAAGGCAGUGGAAACUGGAAGACUGGAGUGUAGUAGGGGCAGAGGGAAUUCCUGGUGUAGCGGUGAAAUGCGUAGAGAUCAGGAAGAACACCGGUGGCGAAGGCGCUCUGCUGGGCUAUAACUGACACUGAGGGACGAAAGCUAGGGGAGCGAAUGGGAUUAGAUACCCCAGUAGUCCUAGCGGUAAACGAUGGAAACUAGGUGUGGCCUGUAUCGACCCGGGCCGUGCCGAAGCAAACGCGUUAAGUUUCCCGCCUGGGGAGUACGCACGCAAGUGUGAAACUCAAAGGAAUUGACGGGGGCCCGCACAAGCGGUGGAGUAUGUGGUUUAAUUCGAUGCAACGCGAAGAACCUUACCAGGACUUGACAUCUCUGGAAUCUCCUUGAAAGGGGAGAGUGCCGUAAGGAACCAGAAGACAGGUGCUGCAUGGCUGUCGUCAGCUCGUGUCGUGAGAUGUUGGGUUAAGUCCCGCAACGAGCGCAACCCUCGUUCUGUGUUACCAGCAUUAAGUUGGGGACUCACAGGAGACUGCCGGGGUCAACUCGGAGGAAGGUGGGGAUGACGUCAAAUCAUCAUGCCCCUUAUGUCUUGGGCUGCACGCAUGCUACAAUGGCCGGUACAAAGUGCUGCGAGAUCGUAAGAUUGAGCGAAUCACAUAAAGCCGGUCUCAGUUCGGAUUGAGGUCUGCA